GGAUGUGAGGGCGAUCUGGCUGCAACAUCUGUCACCCCUUUGAUCUCUAGGGUUGAUUCGGCUGAUCUGGCUGGCUAGGCGGGUGUCCCCUUCCUCCCUCACCCCUCCAUGUGUGUCCCUCCUGAAGCUGCAUGCUCUGUCAAAGAGGACGACCACCCUCGAUAGAGGACUGUUCUUCAGUCAAGGGUAGCUGUGCUCCCCUGCUAGAACCUCCCAACAAGCUCUCAUGGCAUUGGGUGAGAGAGAGGCCUGUGGGGAGAUCCUUU
Molecule: small nuclear RNA, 266 nt
Filed under: Castor canadensis (American beaver)
Lineage: Eukaryota; Metazoa; Chordata; Mammalia; Rodentia; Castoridae
Description: 7SK RNA (ENSCCNG00000027686.1)
Rfam family: 7SK RNA
About the family: 7SK was discovered as an abundant small nuclear RNA in the mid-70s but a possible function has only recently been suggested.
Source: RNAcentral